Molecule: ribosomal RNA, 456 nt
Filed under: Synalpheus streptodactylus complex sp. B KMH-2014
Lineage: Eukaryota; Metazoa; Arthropoda; Malacostraca; Decapoda; Alpheidae
Description: SSU rRNA
Rfam family: Eukaryotic small subunit ribosomal RNA
Source: RNAcentral
UGGAGGGCAAGUCUGGUGCCAGCAGCCGCGGUAAUUCCAGCUCCAAUAGCGUAUAUUAAAGUUGUUGCGGUUAAAAAGCUCGUAGUCUGAGUUCUGUUCCGGACUGGCCGGGGAGGUCACCGCCCGGUGCUUGCCCGUCAGGUUCCGAACAGCUCCCGCCACUGCGAGCGGGAGCCAAGCCGGUUCUGCCGGGGUGCUCUUGACCGAGUGUCCCGCGCGGCCGGCCGGUUCACCUUGAACAAAUGAGAGUGCUCAAAGCAGGCUACUCUUGACACUAAAGCCCGAAUGUUAACUGCAUGGAAUGAUGGAAGAUGAUCUCGGUUCCAUUUUGCUGGCCCUUUUAGGAAUCCGAGUUAAUGAUAAACAGGGACUGUCGGGGGCAUCCGUACUACGACGCGAGAGGUGAAAUUCAGUGACCGUCGUAGGACGAACAACAGCGAAAGCAUUUGCCAAGAA